This 398-nucleotide ribosomal RNA is filed under the name uncultured bacterium. Its description in RNAcentral is "bacterial SSU rRNA". It matches the Rfam family "Bacterial small subunit ribosomal RNA", at positions 29 to 429 of the family's 1533-position model. The record is from RNAcentral.
AUUGAACGCUGGCGGAAUGCUUUACACAUGCAAGUCGAGCGGCAGCGCGGGGGGCAACCCUGGCGGCGAGCGGCGAACGGGUGAGUAACAUAUCGGAACGUACCCAGUCGUGGGGGAUAACUAUCCGAAAGGAUAGCUAAUACCGCAUACGUCCUGAGGGAGAAAGCGGGGGAUCGCAAGACCUCGCGCGAUUGGAGCGGCCGAUAUCGGAUUAGCUAGUUGGUGGGGUAAAGGCUCACCAAGGCGACGAUCCGUAGCGGGUCUGAGAGGACGACCCGCCACACUGGAACUGAGACACGAUCCAGACUCCUACGGGAGGCAGCAGUGGGGAAUUUUGGACAAUGGGGGCAACCCUGAUCCAGCCAUUCCGCGUGAGUGAAGAAGGCCUCGGUUGUAAG